This 368-nucleotide ribosomal RNA is filed under the name uncultured bacterium. RNAcentral's name for it is "bacterial SSU rRNA". It matches the Rfam family "Bacterial small subunit ribosomal RNA", at positions 29 to 422 of the family's 1533-position model. The record is from RNAcentral.
AGCGAACGCUGGCGGCAGGCCUAACACAUGCAAGUCGAACGGAUCCUUCGGGAUUAGUGGCAGACGGGUGAGUAACGCGUGGGAACGUGCCCUUUGGUUCGGAACAACACAGGGAAACUUGUGCUAAUACCGGAUGUGCCCUUCGGGGAAGGAUUAUCGCCAUUGGAGCGGCCCGCGUUGGAUUAGGUAGUUGGUGAGGUAAAGGCUCACCAAGCCUACGAUCCAUAGCUGGUCUGAGAGGAUGAUCAGCCACACUGGGACUGAGACACGGCCCACGACUCCUACGGGAGGGCAGCAGUGGGGAAGUCUUGCGCAAUGGGGCGAAAGCCUGACGCAGCCAUGCCGCGUGAAUGAUGAAGGUCUUAGGA